RNAcentral lists this long non-coding RNA (374 nucleotides) under Medicago truncatula (barrel medic). RNAcentral's name for it is "lncRNA gene41606". Lineage: Eukaryota; Viridiplantae; Streptophyta; Magnoliopsida; Fabales; Fabaceae. The record is from RNAcentral.
GUCAAGUAAUUUCAAUAGAUCUUGGAAGAACAAUGGAGAGCAAAUGAAUUCGAAGCAUCUGAAGAAAACUGCGUCUGAAGCUGGAGUGCUUCUGAAGUGAUGAGGUCAUCAGAAGCAGAAGCUCAUCAGAAGCAGAUGGUCAUCAGAAGCAAGGUUUUCAUCAUAAGCGAAAUCAUCACCAGAAGCUACAAUUGAUCCGUAAAUUUAAACUGGAGAUUCAAAUUAGCUGUUUAACAUUUCAACCUUGUCUAAGAAGAACGAAGAAUUGAAAGGGAGACAUCAACAGUCAUUUGGAGAAAACUAAGUACUUGUCCUUCGUUAACAGAGUUGACAAAGUACAAGUGUACAACCACUACCUCCACUACUCUGUUUUU